This 73-nucleotide transfer RNA is filed under the name Camelus bactrianus (Bactrian camel). It matches the Rfam family "tRNA". From Rfam's summary of the family: Transfer RNA (tRNA) molecules are approximately 80 nucleotides in length. Their secondary structure includes four short double-helical elements and three loops (D, anti-codon, and T loops). RNAcentral also lists the same sequence under 2 other names. The record is from Rfam by way of RNAcentral. Lineage: Eukaryota; Metazoa; Chordata; Mammalia; Artiodactyla; Camelidae.
GAGGGUAUAGCUCAAGUGGUAGAGUGCAUGCUUAGCAUACACAGAGUCCUGGGUUUGAUCCCCAGUACCUCUU